RNAcentral lists this transfer RNA (75 nucleotides) under Spirochaetota bacterium. RNAcentral describes it as "Spirochaetes bacterium tRNA-Asn". It matches the Rfam family "tRNA". Rfam says of the family: Transfer RNA (tRNA) molecules are approximately 80 nucleotides in length. Their secondary structure includes four short double-helical elements and three loops (D, anti-codon, and T loops). The record is from RNAcentral. Lineage: Bacteria; Pseudomonadati; Spirochaetota.
UCCUCGAUAGCUCAGCGGUAGAGUAGGUGGCUGUUAACCACUUGGUCGUAGGUUCGAAUCCUACUCGAGGAGCCA